This 268-nucleotide long non-coding RNA is filed under the name Setaria viridis. RNAcentral describes it as "long non-coding RNA (SVIR_LNC007231)". Lineage: Eukaryota; Viridiplantae; Streptophyta; Magnoliopsida; Poales; Poaceae. The record is from RNAcentral.
UGUGAACAAACAAAACAGCUCAACCCCUGUUGUCCUCGUCUCUAUCCUUCCGUUGUUCUUAUUGUCUCUCUCCCUGUUGUUCAUAGCUAUGGAUGCAGAGAUCCAGGUAGCAGCACGUAGAGGAUGGAGCAGGGGCUACAUGCAUGCAGAUGCAGCAGUCGGAGCUCCUCCGGAGCAGGCCAACUCUUGGAGGGCAGCAAGUCCAUCAACGACGACAGCGGUUCAGUUGGAUGGCGGAGUUACAGAGCCACAGAGGUGGCUGCCAGGU